GCAAGUCGAACGGUAACAUAGAGAAGCUUGCUUUUCUGAUGACGACCGGCGCACGGGUGCGUAACGCGUAUAGAACCUACCUUUUACUGGGAGAUAGCCUUUAGAAAUGAAGAUUAAUAUCCCAUAGUAUUGAUUAAUGGCAUCAUUAAUUAAUUAAAGAUUUAUUGGUAAAAGAUGGCUAUGCGUCCUAUUAGUUAGAUGGUAAGGUAACGGCUUACCAUGACUGUGAUAGGUAGGGGUCCUGAGAGGGAGAUC
Molecule: ribosomal RNA, 255 nt
Filed under: uncultured bacterium
Lineage: Bacteria
Description: partial 16S ribosomal RNA
Rfam family: Bacterial small subunit ribosomal RNA
Source: RNAcentral